Non-coding RNA from Cinara cedri, 1263 nucleotides. NCBI's taxonomy places the organism in Eukaryota, Metazoa, Arthropoda, Insecta, Hemiptera, Aphididae. The record is from the annotation of a GenBank genome assembly.
GCAUAUUUCAAAAUUGUUUUCAAAUUUUAUUUUUAUCCAUAAAACUACAUAAUAUACAUGACUCGUGUCUACAUCGUCUGCAUAUCAUCAUUAUUAUUGUAAUAAUAAUAAUAAUGAUAUCAUACAUUUGGGUUCAGUAAUAUUUAUGAUAAUAAUAAUAAUAAUAAUAAUAUAAUGUUUUACAUGUAACAGUAAUAGUAAUUUUUUACAGGCACGCAUUAAGAUAUAAAUACAAAACAUAGCAUCGGUGAUCGUUAGUAUUUUUUCUUUUCUUUUUUUUUUUUUUUUUUUUUUUUUUAAAAAUACAAUAUUACAAUACCUAAUGUUAUUAUUAAAAUUCAACUUGUCGAAUUUGUUUGCAGGUACUAAAAAAUAAAAAUAAAAACACCCACUAAUCGUCGGGUAUAAAUUCAGUUCAGUUCUGAUGUGUUCUACUAUACAUAUUACAUUAAACAUAUCAUAAUACGAGUAUAUAUAUAUAUAUAUAUAUAUAUAAUAAUCAUAUUGUACAUUUAUAAAAUACUUAAAAAUAAAUAGUUUCGAUUAAUAUUUGGGUAUUAUUAUUAUUAUUAUUAUUGAAUUCAUAUUGUCACAGCGAAAAAAACAAAAAAACCAUUUUAAAAUUACAGAUAAGGCCUAUACAACAAUAAUAAUAUAAGUUUAUACAAAAAACGAAUAUUAUCAUAUUCGACGCGGUCAAUCGCAUAAAAUAUCGGAUAAAAAGCACUACGAUGAUAAUGGAUAAUAAUAAUGUUUAUGGCACACUUUUGUUGAAUCAUUUUUCGUACGAUUAUUAUAACUGUUAUGAUACAAUAUAAUUAUUUUUACACGACGAUAAUAAUAAUAAUAAUAAUAAUAAAAAAAUUUCUCCCGGAUUGUCUAAAAAAUAAUAAUUAUAAGUCGACUACGAGAACUAUACGCACGACGUUUCCGGGUGAAAACGUUUCGUGAUUUUGAUCGCGUGGAUUUAAAAUUAUUUUGAUUUUUCGACGUAUUCUAUGAGUACUGUGUGUAUUUUUUUUAAGGUGUUUUAAACACGAAACGUAAAAUAAACUAAUUUUAAAUAUAAUAAUAAUAAUAAUAAUAAUAAUAUAUAGAAUCUAUCACAACAACAUUGAUAAAAAAAAAAAAAAACAAAAGGAACUAUUAUAUCGUAAAAUUAAUACCGAAUACAGUAUGAUACAAAUAAAUAACAAUAUUAAUAUUUAAUGUAUUUACAAGGAAAUUUACAAAAAAAAAAAAAAAAAAAUCGAACAAAAAAAA